UACGGAGGAUGCGAGCGUUAUACGGAUUUAUUGGGUUUAAAGGGUGCGUAGGCGGCUUUUUAAGUCAGCGGUGAAAUUUUGCAGCUUAACUGUAACAGUGCCGUUGAUACUGGGGAGCUAGGAUUUGGUUGCUGUGGGUGGAAUGUGUAGUGUAGCGGUGAAAUGCUUAGAGAUCACACAGAAUAUCGAUUGCGAAGGCAGCUCACAAAGCCAAGAUUGACGCUGAGGCACGAAAGUGUGGGGAUCAAACAGGAUUAGA
Molecule: ribosomal RNA, 259 nt
Filed under: uncultured prokaryote
Description: partial 16S ribosomal RNA
Rfam family: Bacterial small subunit ribosomal RNA
Source: RNAcentral